GGGCGAGCCGGGCAGUAGAGACGCUUUCUGAAGGGGGUAGAACGGUUCGAGGUUUCGCGGACUGUUUACCUCCAGGGGUCGUUCGUGAGUCAGAGAAACCGGGCCUUUGGAGGGAGAGGGCCUGGCGACAGUCCUUCUGCGCUUGGCUGUGCAGCGUUCUGGCUGCUUCUGCCCGGCGCCACGAGGCCCGCCCCGGCGCUACCCUCGCCCUGCCUGCCCCGGCUCUGUCGGCCUGCGGGCGCUGCAGCCUCUCUCCCGCCGCCGGCGUGUCUGGAAAUGGAGGCCCAUAGCUAGAAGAGGUCCUGUUGCUACCCUGUGUGACAGAAUGGGAAGUACGCAUGAAGCAGGCUUGCUGCAUACCAAGUGGCAGUCGAGACAUCUGUUGAGGCUGCGGCCAUCUGAAGGCUUGACUGGACCUGGAGAAUCUGCUUCCAAGAGGUGCACUCACGUGGCUGUUGGCAGGAGGUGUCACUGGACGGACCUCUCCACGGGGCUUUGACGAUGCGCACAGCUUGGCAGCCAGCUUCUCCCAGAGCAAGUGAUCAGAGAGAGGGAGCAAGAUAGAAGCCUCAGUGUCUUUUAUGAUCUACCCUCAGAAGUCAUGCUCUGUAAUUUCCACCACGUUCUAUUCAUUAGAGUGAGUCACAUGUACAGGCCACACUCAAAGAGAGGGAAAUUAAGCUCCACCUCUUAAAGGGAAGAGUACCGAAGAAUACGUGGACAUGUUUCAAUAACACUACACUUAGUGAACCAAUAUUUUCCAAAUGACUGUGUGAUGUUACAAUGCCAUGAUGCACAGAUAAAAAAUCUAUUCUAAUUGCAAGAUAGCCCCAUGGAUUUUUAAUGUAACAGAGUAGGAAACAUUCAUUGAUGUAGUUUUAGAUCCCACAUUGCUUCUGACCUUUAAGAAGCUAUCAUUUGUUGAGUUCUGGUGUAGGAUCAGAGAAGAGUAUCCACAAUUAUCUGAAAAGGCUAUCAAAAUACUCCCCUUAUUUCCAACUACGUAUCCCUGUGAGGCCAAAUUUUUGUCAUAUACUGACAACAGCAUUAGAAUAGACCGGAAUGCAGAGGCAGAUAGGAGAAUCCAGCUCUCUUCUGUUAAGCCAGACAGAGAUUUGCAAAAAUGUACAACAGAGUGGCUCUUCUCACUAAUUAUUUUUGUUUUAGAAAAUGUGUUUUUCUUAAAAAGUGUGUGUGUGUGUGUGUACUAACAUGUAUUGGAUUUAUUAUUGUAAUUUGUAAAUGAAUUAAAUAUUUUUAAAUUUUCUCAGUUUCUAAUAUGGUAUUAUCACUAGAUGUAACCCAUAUAAACGAAGGCUCUUUGGGUCCUCAGUAAUUUUUAAGAAUGUAAAGGAGUCCUGAGACCACAAAGUUCUGAGAUCACUUAUCUGAGCAAUCGGAUGGCUCUGUUACCCUCAAAUAAUAGUUUAGGGAUGGGCAUGUGGUGCGACUUUGGCCAAUGACAUGUGAGGUGAAGGUGUUGUGUUCAGUUUUCAGUUUAGGGUAUUAAAUAGAAGCGUACAUGGGGUCUUCUAAAAGAUUGG
This 1544-nucleotide long non-coding RNA is filed under the name Equus caballus (horse). RNAcentral describes it as "lncRNA (ENSECAG00000045610.1)". The record is from RNAcentral. Lineage: Eukaryota; Metazoa; Chordata; Mammalia; Perissodactyla; Equidae.